GUGGGGAAUAUUGGACAAUGGGCGCAAGCCUGAUCCAGCCAUGCCGCGUGAGUGAUGAAGGCCUUAGGGUUGUAAAGCUCUUUCAGUGGGGACGAUAAUGACGGUACCCACAGAAGAAGCCCCGGCUAACUUCGUGCCAGCAGCCGCGGUAAUACGAAGGGGGCUAGCGUUGUUCGGAUUUACUGGGCGUAAGGCGCACGUAGGCGGAUCGUUAAGUCGGGGGUGAAAUCCUGGAGCUCAACUCCAGAACUGCCUUCGAUACUGGCGAUCUUGAGUCCGGAAGAGGUGAGUGGAACUCCUAGUGUAGAGGUGGAAUUCGUAGAUAUUAGGAAGAACACCAGUGGCGAAGGCGGCUCACUGGUCCGGUACUGACGCUGAGGUGCGAAAGCGUGGGGAGCAAACAGGAUUAGAAACCCUGGUAGUCC
This 425-nucleotide ribosomal RNA is filed under the name uncultured bacterium. Its description in RNAcentral is "partial 16S ribosomal RNA". It matches the Rfam family "Bacterial small subunit ribosomal RNA", at positions 354 to 796 of the family's 1533-position model. The record is from RNAcentral.